CAGCCGCCGCGGGAAUACGUAGGUGGCGAGCGUUGUCCGGAAUUAUUGGGCGUAAAGGGCUCGCAGGCGGUUUCUUAAGUCUGAUGUGAAAGCCCCCGGCUCAACCGGGGAGGGUCAUUGGAAACUGGGAAACUUGAGUGCAGAAGAGGAGAGUGGAAUUCCACGUGUAGCGGUGAAAUGCGUAGAGAUGUGGAGGAACACCAGUGGCGAAGGCGACUCUCUGGUCUGUAACUGACGCUGAGGAGCGAAAGCGUGGGGAGCGAACAGGAUUAGAUACCCCGGUAGUCCUGUCUCUUAUACA
RNAcentral lists this ribosomal RNA (301 nucleotides) under uncultured bacterium. RNAcentral's name for it is "partial 16S ribosomal RNA". It matches the Rfam family "Bacterial small subunit ribosomal RNA", at positions 509 to 809 of the family's 1533-position model. The record is from RNAcentral.